This 2418-nucleotide non-coding RNA is filed under the name Pseudomonas aeruginosa. The record is from RNAcentral. Lineage: Bacteria; Pseudomonadati; Pseudomonadota; Gammaproteobacteria; Pseudomonadales; Pseudomonadaceae.
GUGCGACGUGAAGUCGUCUGAGUAAUUGUUCCAACGGGGGCAAUCCCGGCGAGGAACCUGGUGUUCCGUCAUCAGUAGCCUACCGGCACAUGCAGGACUGAUAACGGUCUUGUGUGAAGCUGCCGGGACAAUGUAGCUGGGCCUUCGGGCCGCGCCAACGCCGUGAGGCAAGGCGUUAUCUGCGAGCAUCAAUGCGGGUACGGCGCUAGGCUGGGUGGUAUGACCAACGAAAGUGAACUGCUGUUAAACACCGUUAUGAAUGACAAGCCAAAGAUGCUGACAGGCUUGAACCAAAAGGUAUGCGGUCGGUUGCCCUUUAUCCGUUUUGGGGGCACACGGACAUCAUGACCGCCGGUGGAAAGGCAGGGUCUAACCCAUCUCGUUACUCAGGUGAAACACGGUAAGCCCGUAUCGCUGCCCCUCGGGGCAGGCAGACCGUAAGGAAUGCUGUUGGUGGUGCGGGUAAAGGAAUGUGGAGAAAGCGAAUGCCGCCCUGUAAUGGGGCGGAUAGGGGUUGAGCCGCAAGGCAACAUCAUCCCACGCGAAAGCGGGCAGACUUCCACUUGGUCUUUCUCUACGAGAGAGUUUGUCUAACCUUCUUCAAGAGGGAAUUGCAGAUGACUACGCAAGAAAUUGCUUGCGCGGGUGCGCCCUCACACGAAUCGGUCAACUGGCACAGCAUCGACUGGGCCAGGUGUCACCGUGAAGUGCGAAGGCUCCAAGCGCGUAUCGUAAAGGCGACUCGGGAAGGGAAACACGGCAAGGUGAAAGCCUUGCAAUGGAUUCUGACCCACUCGUUCAGCGGCAAAGCAUUGGCCGUCAGACGAGUCACCGAGAACCAAGGCAAGAAGACGCCGGGCGUGGAUGGCAUCACGUGGUCCACCCCGGAAGCCAAGUCUCAAGCCAUGUUGUCAAUCAAGCGGCGCGGGUAUCGUCCCCAACCGCUGAAGCGUGUCUAUAUUCCCAAAACCAAUGGGAAGAUGCGGCCGCUGGGUAUCCCGACCAUGAAAGACAGGGCGAUGCAGGCGCUAUACCUGCUGGCUCUCGAACCCGUGGCCGAGACCACAGCGGACGGACGCUCGUUUGGGUUCCGACCCGAAAGGUCUACGGCGGACGCCAUCGAACAGUGCUUCACGACGCUGUCCAAGAAGGUGGCUCCGCAAUGGAUUCUCGAAGGCGACAUCAAAGGCUGCUUCGACAACAUCAGCCAUGACUGGCUUAUGGGUCAUGUACCGACGGAUCGCGAGAUUCUGAGGAAGUGGCUCAAGGCUGGAUACAUGGAAGAUCGGCAACUUUUUCCAACCGAAGCCGGUACCCCGCAAGGGGGCAUCAUCUCGCCAACCCUGGCGAAUCUCGUCCUCGACGGACUGGAAGCCAAACUGGAUGCCGCGUUCGGAAGAAAGCGGUACGCCAACGGUGUACAGACCCGUUUGAUGGUCAACUAUGUGCGGUAUGCGGACGACUUCAUUGUGACGGGACGCUCGAAAGAGCUACUGGAGCAGGAGGUCAUGCCGAUCAUCAAGGACUUCAUGCAGGAACGGGGGCUCACGCUCUCACCCGAGAAGACCAAGAUCACGCACAUCGACGACGGCUUCGACUUCCUCGGACAAAACGUGCGCAAGUACAACGGCAAGCUGUUGAUCAAGCCGUCGAAAGCGAACGUGGCGACCUUCUUGGAGAAAGUGCGCUCGGCGGUCAAAGGCAACAAGGCGCUGGAUCAGCCUCGGCUGAUUCGGAUGCUCAACCCAAUGAUCCGCGGCUGGGCGAAUUAUCACCAGCACGUCGUAUCCAAAGCGACGUUCGCGCGUGUCGAUCACGAGAUUUGGCGUGUGUUGUGGCAGUGGGCCGUUCGUCGGCAUCCGCAGAAGAGCAGCGUCUGGAUCAAACAGCGCUACUUCCAUUCCGUCGGCACCCGUAACUGGGUGUUUGCGGCGGCGACAGGCGAAAGGUUCCCUGACGGGAAUCCGAUCCUGACGUCACUGCGGAAAGCAACGGAUACGCCCAUUCGGCGACACCGGCCAAUCAAGUUGGAGGCCAACCCCUUCGACCCGAUGUGGGAAACGUACUUUGAGGAGCGUAUGAGCCUCAAGAUGCAGAACUCGCUGAGGGGCAGGAAGAAGCUCAUCAACCUCUGGUUGGAUCAGGAUCGUCGUUGUCCAAUCUGCGGCGAAUUGAUCACGCAGGAGUCGGGGUGGCAUGUCCAUCACAUCAUCCGGCGGGUCGAUGGCGGAAAGGACGGGAGUACCAACCUCGUGAUGGUGCAUCCGAACUGUCAUAACCAGAUCCACGUCAAUGGUCUCAAGGUGGUGAAGCCGGCUCGCGAAAGCGGGCUUUGAAAGGCUUGAGCCGUAUGAGGGGAAACUCUCACGUACGGUUCUUAGGGGGGGAUGGGCCAGCAAUGGCUUGUCCCUACCCGAC